This 603-nucleotide ribosomal RNA is filed under the name Cautires sp. UPOL 000070. RNAcentral's name for it is "partial 16S ribosomal RNA". It matches the Rfam family "Bacterial large subunit ribosomal RNA", at positions 1816 to 2714 of the family's 2925-position model. The record is from RNAcentral. Lineage: Eukaryota; Metazoa; Arthropoda; Insecta; Coleoptera; Lycidae.
CAUGGCCUUAUUGAUAAUAAUUUAAGGUCUGAUCUGCUCAAUGAAUUUUAAAUAGCCGCAGUAUUUUGACUGUGCGAAGGUAGCAUAAUAAUUAGUUUCUUAAUUAGGAACUGGAAUGAAUGAUUGGACAAGAAAAUUACUGUCUCUUUUUUAGUUGUUGAAUUUUAUUUUUAAGUGAAAAAGCUUAAAUGUUUAUAAAAGACGAGAAGACCCUAUAGAGUUUAAUAUUUUUUUUUAAUUUGUUAUUAGUAUAAUUUUUUAGACAAAAUUAUUUGGUUGGGGUGAUUGAAAGAUAUAAUUAAUUCUUUUAAAUUUUAAUUAAAAAUUUUUAAAUUUUUAAUCUAUAAUUUGUAAAAUUAAAAUAAAUUACCUUAGGGAUAACAGCGUAAUUUUUCUUAAAAGUUCUUAUUGUAAGGAAAGUUUGCGACCUCGAUGUUGGAUUAAAAUAAAUUUUUGGUGCAAUAACUGAAAAAUUGGGUCUGUUCGACCUUUAAAAUUUUACAUGAUCUGAGUUUAGACCGGUGUGAACCAGGUUGGAUUCUAUCUUUAUAUUUAUUUCUUAUAUUUUAGUACGAAAGGACCAAAUAUGAAUUAAAUUAAUUG